CGGACGGGUGAGUAACGCGUGAGAAUCUACCCUUAGGAUGGAGACAACAGUUGGAAACGACUGCUAAUACCCGAUGUGCCGAGAGGUAAAACUUAUAUGGCCUGAGGAAGAGCUCGCGUCUGAUUAGCUAGUUGGUAGUGUAAGGGACUACCAAGGCGACGAUCAGUAGCUGGUCUGAGAGGAUGAUCAGCCACACUGGGACUGAGACACGGCCCAGACUCCUACGGGAGGCAGCAGUGGGGAAUUUUCCGCAAUGGGCGAAAGCCUGACGGAGCAAGACCGCGUGAGGGAGGAAGGCCUACUGGUUGUAAACCUCUUUUGAUAGGGAAGAACACAAUGACGGUACCUAUCGAAUCAGCCUCGGCUAACUCCGUGCCAGCAGCCGCGGUAAUACGGAGGAGGCAAGCGUUAUCCGGAAUUAUUGGGCGUAAAGCGUCCGUAGGUGGUUAUCCAAGUCAGUUGUUAAAGCGUAGAGCUUAACUCUAUAAGGGCAAUUGAAACUGGGUGGCUAGAGUGCGAUAGGGGCAAGGGGAAUUCCCAGUGUAGCGGUGAAAUGCGUAGAUAUUGGGAAGAUCAUCGGUGGCGA
Molecule: ribosomal RNA, 586 nt
Filed under: uncultured cyanobacterium
Lineage: Bacteria; Bacillati; Cyanobacteriota
Description: bacterial SSU rRNA
Rfam family: Bacterial small subunit ribosomal RNA
Source: RNAcentral